Molecule: long non-coding RNA, 3617 nt
Organism: Gallus gallus (chicken)
Lineage: Eukaryota; Metazoa; Chordata; Aves; Galliformes; Phasianidae
Source: Ensembl
UUUUAAAGGUACAAUACAGUGAAAUGAGAUUACAUGGUGAAAUCACUGUUUUCUACUUUUUGAAGGAAAUCUUAGUUUUUCCUAAGCAACUGCACAUCUAUACCUAUACAGUCACCACUGCCUAUUUUUCCUCCUGGAAAGAAAAAAAAAAGAUAAGCAAAAAAAUUAAGAGAAAACUCAUUGGUAGCAAACAUUUCUGCAAUGUUAUGUCUACGCUGUAUAAAACAGAAAUAAAUACGUAUCCUCAGUGAAUAGGCAGUUAAUCACCAGAAAUCUAGUAGAGGUUUGGGCGUUGCAUUUCUGUUUUUGAACAUUUUGGAAGUUUGAGAUGACAGUGACAGAUGGAAGCACAGUUCUUGGCAAGUGGUUGGAGCUCUAGGUGGGGUAGGUGACAGGGGCAAGUGAACAUGCUAGAGAGGGAGUGGAGGUGAAUCUCUUCCAGAUUUGUCUUUGCUGUGCUGUUUUUCUAUUUUGCCAGGCAUACAGAAAGCCAGAGCUGCCACUCCACCCCAUGACUUCUCUUGCAAGAUGAAUAUGUGCUCAGUGAGAUCUCUGCUGGUGCAAACCGCUGUACUCCAGGAACAUACACGAGAAGACACACUCCUCUAAUCUCCCUUGAGUCUGCUGAAUUCACACAACUUUUCUGGAAACAAACAUUUUUGAAUUAAAGCUCUGCUUAAGAAAUUACGCUGAUUGAGAUGUUCACAAUGCCCUCCUUGUCAAUAUCCUCCUUUAAGUCUUUACUUGGAACACAGGUGGAAAUAAAAGCAGAUGAAUACAAGUGACAGAAAAAUACUCGGUAGGACUGAAACACAGAGUGAGCAGCUGAAACCAGUGCUCCCACGUACACUGGAAAAGGUGUGUUUCACACACUAUUAGCUGAAACCACCUGUAGCCAUCUUGAGUAUGCAAUCACACCAAGUCUUAGUGUAACAGAGCUCUCAGAAAAGCUGCUGCAGAGAGACUGAAGAAUCAUUGGAAGAGUAAGAAUCUUUCAGAACACGGGCAUCUGGCAAGAAAAGUAUUUACAACAGCAUUAUUUCAACAGAAGAGAAGGAUUGCUCAAGGAAGCAGGAGAGAAGAGUACCCAUUCCCAGAGGUGUUCCAGAACCAUGGAGAUGUGGCUCUGAGGAACACGGUCAGUGGGCAUGGUGGGAGUGGGUUGGGGUUGGACCUGAUGAUUCUAGAGGUCCUUUCCAACCUUAAUGAUUUAUGACUAGAUGUAAGUUGUAUUUAAGCGACACAUGGAUGGAAGAGCAUAUAUUAGUGCAAAACCAAAGAAAGACAUUUCCUCCAGAUAUAAAUCCAGUACUAUGAAGGCUGAAAUGGGGAUGGGGAUACCCUUUCUGCCAUUACAAGUUAUGAAGCAUCUCACGUCAACUUCCUUCUUACAUAAUACAGAGUGAUAAAUCUGCUUGACAUAAAUCACUUAUGAAGGAACACAAGCUUACUAAAUAUAUCUCUAAAUCAAGGGCAGAUUUCUUUCUCAGUAUAAGAUCAAAAGCUCAAGUUAUAUUUAAGCUCUAAUGAGAAGCAGCCUUAUUUAUUGGUGGUGGUUGGGUCAUGGGGCCAGGAAAGCUCCUGUGUUCUAAUCCUGCAGCAUAUCCAUACUUUACAGUUUUGGAGAAGUCUGUUACUCCAUUUCUCCAUCACAUAAGCAGAGAUUUUAUUAUUUAGUUACCUCAUAAUGGCCUUAAGAGAAUGUUUACAAUCAUUCUGUAUUGUUUUUAAUAAACUUCGGUCCUGAUCCUGCAGGAUCUGUAUUCUAAAUCUGAACUAUUUAGAUCUAAUCUAAAAGAAAUCAUAGAAAAAGGUGAAAAUAAAGAAAAAAGUGAUUAUUACAUUACAAUAAUACAAUUUCAAUUCUGAAACAUCAUUAUAAGAAAAUUAAUGAUGACGGGACGAAAGGAUCCUUACUUCUGAUUGGCAUAUUUCUUAGGUUGCUCCAAAAGUAAUAUUUAUUUCCAUGGAAACUGCAACAGAUGCAAUGAGCACAGUAAUAUGGUGUGAUAGAACGAAUUCUCAGCUAUCAUAUACUAUCUUGAAAAAGUAACCACCAUUGGCAACGCAUUUUUGCCAGGGAUGAACAAGAGCCUGCGUGCCACGCUAGUCAAAAUCUGCACCAGUGGAGGUGACCCACUGUCACUGUCACCACUGCUGAAAUGUACCACCCACAGCCUCACUAUGUUCACAUUCACUGGUUGGUCUCCAGAAAUGGAUGUUAAUGGGUACUGUUUUUUCUGCAUGGAGAAAUUCAGUGACACACCUUUGAUUCAUACACGCUUUCAUGUCAAGUGCUAUUUUAUCAGGCUGCCCCUCUGCUGUCAUCUCUCACACAGCAACUACAUGUAAUGGGAUAUUGGUGAGAAGGUCAAACCUCUACUGCCAUACCACCAACAUCUGUCUCUGGCUCCACAGAGCCAUGAGCGUCUCAGCAGCACACAAUGAAUAGGUAUCACUGCUGCAAGGAGGAGGAAGAGGAUACAUCUGGAAACAACUCUCUGCUCUGCAGGCUCUACUGACACCUGGCGUGCAGCUCAUCUGCAGCCUUAUGUCCAGGAUCCCUGUGCUGCACAUGCCCACAGAGUGCCUCUGCACCCCAGAGCAACAGACCUCAUGGUGAAAACACAAACACUGGUCAGCCACAAUUUUCUCUCAUCUCCCUUCUGGUUCAAGCAAGAAGGGAGGCUCUUCAAACUGUGCUAUGAGCAAGGAGAUGUCAGUCUUGGUGUGACUUCCUCAAAGGAUUGGUGUUGUGACGCACAAGAGGAAACAUGCAGCAGCCAAGGCAUCAAGAGGACUGGGAGGCAUGUAUGGUGCAAGCCAACCGUGCAAGUGUUGUGCUCAAGCACAAUGCUUCUAAUAGCAUGUGAGCAGGUGCUAAAUCUGUGUGUUUAUUAAAAACAAACUUGCUUAUGGUAGUGCCUCUCACAUUUUAUUAGUGGGAGUCUAUCCAAGUGCCCCCAAUACUGACAUUCCACUAUUGUCUUAAAAGAUAGAAACCACAUCCUAUGGCAAAGCAUUUGUGAGCCUUUGAGGGCUUUGUAAGUUGAACAAUCUUAGGAAUCUACCCACAGUUAAAUUUUCUGGAUUCUGCACAAGGGACAGAAAUAAGAAAAUAAAAUAAAAAAGCUUCUCUUCCAAGUCUCAGCUUGAAUUUGUAGUAUUUACAUUUUGAACAGUUUGAAAAAUGCAGCACCUUUUCCCCACUGUUCAUUAAUUGUGAUCCUCAACGGCACUUCACAGUCACUUCUGAAAUAGAAAAGAAAGUAAAGCUCAGACUGAAGAGUCCUUGAAUUGCUACAACCUACAUAAACUCAGCUCUUCAGCUCCUAUCUGCAAAGCCUCAGUGACAUAAAAUAGAAGACACCUGACUGAAUAAGGGAUUCUGAUUUUCAGCAUGGUAAGGUCUUCUGAAAUAAAUUAUAUCCAAUUCUUAAGAACAGUGGCAGAGAUAAUGUCUGCAUAUCUAGAUUCAGAAGUCUCAAGAUGAGCUACAAUAUCUGACUUUGUUAAGUAAAUCAGCAAAGAUGACAGUACUCAGAAAAAGUUUGUUAAAGAAAGCAUGUCACUCACAUCUUUGUUUUUGACUCUCUUUACCUGUUUAAGAUUGGAGC